GUGCUUGCUUCAGCACUGCGUAUACUAAAAUUGGAAUGAUUCAGAGAAGAUUAGCAUAGCCCCUUGUAGAUAACGUGCAGAUUUGUGAAGUGUUCCAAAUUUUU
Molecule: small nuclear RNA, 104 nt
Filed under: Procavia capensis (Cape rock hyrax)
Lineage: Eukaryota; Metazoa; Chordata; Mammalia; Hyracoidea; Procaviidae
Source: RNAcentral